GACGAACGCUGGCGGCGUGCUUAACACAUGCAAGUCGAACGGAAAGGCCCUGCUUUUGUGGGGUGCUCGAGUGGCGAACGGGUGAGUAACACGUGAGUAACCUGCCCUUGACUUUGGGAUAACUUCAGGAAACUGGGGCUAAUACCGGAUAGGAGCUCCUGCUGCAUGGUGGGGGUUGGACAGUUUCGGCGGUUGGGGAUGGACUCGCGGCUUAUCAGCUUGUUGGUGGGGUAGUGGCUUACCCAGGCUUUGACGGGUAGCCGGCCUGAGAGGGUGACCGGCCACAUUGGGACUGAGGUACGGCCCAGACUCCUACGGGAGGCAGCAGUGGGGAAUAUUGCACAAUGGGCGGAAGCCUGAUGCAGCAACGCCGCGUGCGGGAUGACGGCCUUCGGGUUGUAAACCGCUUUCGCCUGUGACGAAGCGUGAGUGACGGUAAUGGGUAAAGAAGCACCGGCUAACUACGUG
RNAcentral lists this ribosomal RNA (468 nucleotides) under uncultured bacterium. RNAcentral describes it as "partial 16S ribosomal RNA". It matches the Rfam family "Bacterial small subunit ribosomal RNA", at positions 28 to 507 of the family's 1533-position model. The record is from RNAcentral.